Molecule: long non-coding RNA, 269 nt
Organism: Suricata suricatta (meerkat)
Lineage: Eukaryota; Metazoa; Chordata; Mammalia; Carnivora; Herpestidae
Exons: 2
Source: RefSeq, a predicted model, not a curated record
AGGGUCCUGGUAUAAAGACAUGACUGGAAUGUGUCAGUGUGAGUACAGGCAGGUGAUACGGGAUGGAGGCAAGGAGGCUUUCUACAAAAUGCAACAGAAUCUCAAUCAAAAUUCCAGCAGACAUUGUAGAAAUUGACAAGCUGAUUCUAAACAUCUUCUGAAAACAACAGAGGACCUAGAAGUGCCAACACAAUUUUUAAAGAACAACGUUGGAGGAAUUACCUUCUUUACCUGAUCUCAAGACUUAUAAUAAAGCUAAGGAAAUCGUA